This 500-nucleotide ribosomal RNA is filed under the name uncultured bacterium. RNAcentral's name for it is "partial 16S ribosomal RNA". It matches the Rfam family "Bacterial small subunit ribosomal RNA", at positions 30 to 523 of the family's 1533-position model. The record is from RNAcentral.
AUUGAACGCUGGCGGAAUGCUUUACACAUGCAAGUCGAACGGCAGCACGGACUUCGGUCUGGUGGCGAGUGGCGAACGGGUGAGUAAUGUAUCGGAACGUGCCCAGUCGUGGGGGAUAACGUAGUGAAAAUUACGCUAAUACCGCAUACGAUCUAUGGAUGAAAGCGGGGGAUCGCAAGACCUCGCGCGAUUGGAGCGGCCGAUAUCAGAUUAGGUAGUUGGUGGGGUAAAGGCCCACCAAGCCAACGAACUGUAGCUGGUCUGAGAGGACGACCAGCCACACUGACACUGAGACACGGUCCAGACUCCUACGGGAGGCAGCAGUGGGGAAUUUUGGACAAUGGGCGAAAGCCUGAUCCAGCCAUACCGCGUGCAGGAAGAAGGCCCUCGGGUUGUAAACUGCUUUUGUACAGAACGAAAAGGUUUCUACUAAUACUAGGAGCUCAUGACGGUACUGUAAGAAUAAGCACCGGCUAACUACGUGCCAGCCGCCGCAGUAA